Molecule: transfer RNA, 75 nt
Filed under: Erysipelothrix sp.
Lineage: Bacteria; Bacillati; Bacillota; Erysipelotrichia; Erysipelotrichales; Erysipelotrichaceae
Description: tRNA-Val
Rfam family: tRNA
About the family: Transfer RNA (tRNA) molecules are approximately 80 nucleotides in length. Their secondary structure includes four short double-helical elements and three loops (D, anti-codon, and T loops).
Source: RNAcentral
GGUCGCUUAGCUCAGGGGGAGAGCACCUGCUUGACGUGCAGGGGGUCAGGGGUUCAAAUCCCUUAGCGACCACCA